Molecule: ribosomal RNA, 102 nt
Filed under: Sporolactobacillus sp. THM7-7
Lineage: Bacteria; Bacillati; Bacillota; Bacilli; Caryophanales; Sporolactobacillaceae
Source: RNAcentral
CACUAAUGCACCGGAUCCCAUCAGAACUCCGCAGUUAAGCGUGCUUGGGCGAGAGUAGUACUAGGAUGGGUGACCUCCCGGGAAGUCCUCGUGUUGCAUCCC